UUUCAGAAAAAUGAGAGGAGGUAGGAGUCCGAGAGGCAACAUGAACUUUGAACUCUGUUUUUAUACGUUUUCCACCUAUUUUUACGUUCAGAAUUCAUGUGUUCAGAAUUGUUUUGUAACAUUUUUAAUCAGUUUCUUCUUGUCUUCCAUUUGUUUUCUACAGAGAGGAGAGGACUGGAGACAAUGUGAAGUUUGAACACUCAUUUUAAAUUCAGAUACAGUAUACUUAUGAUAUGGUCAUAUUUCAUCUGAUGACAUAUUGCUCAUCUGUUCAUCUGGUUUUUCAUACUUUGAACAUUGAUCUCCAUCGUCUGAUUGCUCUUUCUUUGUUGUUUUUUUCUUUUUCUUUUUCAGAAAAAUGAGAGGAGAAAAAUGAGAGGAGAAAAAUGAGAGGAGGUAGGAGUCCGAGAGGCAACAUGAACUUUGAACUCUGUUUUUAUACGUUUUCUACCUAUUUUUACGUUCAGAAUUCAUGUGUUCAGAAUUGUUUUGUAACAUUUUUAAUCAGUUUCUUCUCGUCUUCCAUUUGUUUUCUACAGAGAGCAGAGGACUGGAGACAAUGUGAAGUUUGAACACUCAUUUUAAAUUCAGAUACAGUAUACUUAUGAUAUGGUCAUAUUUCAUCUGAUGACAUAUUGCUCAUCUGUUCAUCUGGUUUUUCAUACUUUGAACAUUGAUCUCCAUCGUCUGAUUGCUCUUUCUUUGUUGUUUUUUUCUUUUUCUUUUUCAGAAAAAUGAGAGGAGAAAAAUGAGAGGAGAAAAAUGAGAGGAGGUAGGAGUCCGAGAGGCAACAUGAACUUUGAACUCUGUUUUUAUACGUUUUCUACCUAUUUUUACGUUCAGAAUUCAUGUGUUCAGAAUUGUUUUGUAACAUUUUUAAUCAGUUUCUUCUCGUCUUCCAUUUGUUUUCUACAGAGAGCAGAGGACUGGAGACAGUGUGAAGUUUGAACACUCAUUUUAAAUUCAUAUACAGUAUACUUAUGAUAUGGUCAUAUUUCAUCUGAUGACAUAUUGCUCAUCUGUUCAUCUGGUUUUUCAUACUUUGAACAUUGAUCUCCAUCGUCUGAUUGCUCUUUCUUUGUUGUUUUUUUCUUUUUCUUUUUCAGAAAAAUGAGAGGAGGUAGGAGUUCGAGAGGCAACAUGAACUUUGAACUCUGUUUUUAUACCUUUUCUACGUUCUUUUACGUUCAGAAUUCAUGUGUUCAGAAAUAUUUCAACUGCUUAUUUUGUAACAUUUUUAACUUUGAACACUGAUCUCCAUCUUCUGACAAUAUUGUUUUCCUUUUUCUUUCUUUCUCUUUUUCAGAAAAAUGAGAGGAG
Molecule: long non-coding RNA, 1320 nt
Organism: Thunnus maccoyii (southern bluefin tuna)
Lineage: Eukaryota; Metazoa; Chordata; Actinopteri; Scombriformes; Scombridae
Exons: 5
Source: RefSeq, a predicted model, not a curated record